Molecule: unclassified non-coding RNA, 3705 nt
Filed under: Leishmania donovani
Lineage: Eukaryota; Euglenozoa; Kinetoplastea; Trypanosomatida; Trypanosomatidae
Description: gene:LdHU3.15.1120(CDS-product:Putative_methyltra nsferase/GDP_dissociation_inhibitor_putative)
Source: RNAcentral
GAACCUCUGUGUGUGCAUGUGUGUGUGUGUAUGUGUGUGUGUGGCGUCUGCAGCGCCUCGCCCACAAUCUCCUUCCUCCCUCCCCCUUCCGUGACGCCGCACGCCCACACCCGCUCACUCGCAUAUCCGCCUCGCAGCAUCCAGUCACAGACACCGUUCUCUCAGCGUUGCUUGUUCCCCCACCGACAACCUCAUUCAGACCACGCAGGAGUCCAUAAAGCGCUCACUGCUGCUGCCCCUAUUGCCCCAGCACCUCCACCUCACCUCACCCACGCAUGUCGGACGCGGAAGGCUUUGCGGACUUGUUCGGCGGUGUCGAAGAGGUGCCGGAGUCGCCGCUGCAGACGCUCUUCAUUAGCCGCCAGGCACUCGCCGGGGAGGGGACGACGUGCGCCUACUUCAACCCUCUCCUGGACCGGUUUGACAACGUAUCGUCUGCGGCGACGGCGGAGGAGGAUGCGGCGUUGCUACGUCAGCGCCUCGUGCGCCUCGCGCCGCCGCCGCUGGUGGUUCGCUUCCGUGACAAGCGACACAGCCUGUGGGGGCACAAGCUCUGGAAUGCGGCCAAGUAUCUCGUAAAGCGCAUGGAUGAGCGUAUGAUCGACGUGCGUGGCAAGUCUGUCAUCGAGCUUGGUGCCGGCCUCGGCGUUCCGACGCUGGCAGCGUACAAGAACGGCGCGCGGCUGUGCGUCAUGACGGACUACCCUGAUACGAAUCUACUCGACAUCCUCGCGCUGAACUUGGAGACAAACUGCGCCCCUGGCGACAUGGACGCUGACGUGAAGCGCGAAAUGGAGGAGCAAGCCCGGCAGCAGCUCGCCAACGGUGGCAACCUCGACAGCGUCUCGGCUGAUCAGCUGGAAGCCGCCAUGAGUACCCGCUGUUACGUGGAGCCCCUUCUCUGGGGCAAGAAGGAAGACAUUGCUAAAGUGAUGCAGUACACGACCGGCGGCGCUGGCUACGACAUCGUCAUCCUAUCCGACAUCAUCUUCAACCACGUCUGCAACGAUGACCUCGCCGACACGCUCGCCAUGCUCCUGGCCAAGAAUCCACACGCGGCCGGCUACUGCGUCUUCUCCCACCACCGCGCGUAUAAGCAGCUGCACGACUUCGAGUUCUUCGACAAGUGUGUGCGCCGCGGACUGCAGUAUGAGCACCUGGACGAGCAGGACUACCCAAUGAUGUUCCCGGAGGAUCGCGGGCCGGAGUCAGUGCGGAAGCCGGUGAAGUGCUACAAGAUCACCCGUCGCUACGACGCCGCCGGCUGCGGCUUGGACACGAGCCUGUGCUUCGACGUGGUGCUGCAGGGGACGGGGAUGGUGCAGUCGAUCCUGUCGGCCGCUCUGGCGCGAAACGGGCUGAAGGUGCUGCACUGCGAUGGUGCGGAUUACUAUGCUGCCGCCAUGGCCACCUUCGACCACGCUACGUUUCUCCAGUACUUGCGCCAGCCAUCGCCAUCGUCGAUGUCUUCGUUCAGCGCGCCAGACAUCUUCAUCAACCGCAUCGUCGACGAUGUGCCGGAGGCACGCCGCCGCCGCUACCUCUUUGACGUGCUCCCGAUGUGCUACAUGGCGCGUGGUCCGCUGCUGAGCCAUCUCGUCUCCUCUGGCAUAGGUCGAUCGCUGGAGUGCCAGCACGUGCACCGCUUCCUCUUCCUGCAGCACCCAACAGCAGCCGGUGCUGGCUCGGCGGCGACGACGACUGCGAUGGAGGUUCCGCUGACGCGGGCAAGCGUCUUCCACAACGCCACCAUCGGGCUCUUUGACAAGCGUCGCAUGAUGCGUUUCGUGAAAGAUGUCGAGGCGUCCGUGGCGGAGCAGCUGCACGCCAAGGCCGCGAACCCGGCUGACGACCCGUCCGUCGCGAACACGUCCGUAGCCGCCGAGGCGGCUGUGGCCAAGGCAGCGGCCGUCUUCACCCGCGAGGCGCAGGCGAAUCCGCAGGUCACCUUGACGGAGCUCUUGCAGAGCAAGUACGAUCUCUCCGGCACCGUCCUCGACGUCGUCUCGCUCAUGGGCAUGAUGGAUGUUCUGCCCGCGACGAGCAGCACAAGCGUGGCCUGCAGCCAGGGGGCUGCGGCGGAGCCGCCUCUUGUUCGGUCGGUGGGCAUGGUGCGCGAUCUUCUUCUCUCCACCGGUGCCUUCGAUGGCAAGUCUCCUUACCUCACCAUGUCGUAUGGCGCCUCCGAGGUGGCGCAGAACAUGUGCCGCGUCUCCGCCGUCUGGGGCGGCAUAUUUGUGCUGCGCCGCAGCCUCCGCGGCGUCGCCGUUGACGAAGGCAAAGAGACGCAGUACGCCGUACUGAGCAACGGGCAGUGGGUACCCGCCAAGGUCAUCGUCACCCCAGAAGAGCUCGCCGCAGCGAACUAUCUGAGCUACGGGGUCAACGACUGGUACUACGACUUCCUCAAGGAGCAGGAGCAGGGCCGGACGCCGCUCAUCCCACUGCCGGCGGAGCAGAGCGGCGCUCCUGUUCUAGCCGCUGCAGUGGACCAGACCAAAACGAGCGACAAGGGCGCGGCUGCCGAGCCUGCGACUGCGUCGGCAUCCCCUGAAGCGGUGGUCCGCUUCAGCCGGGUCGUCCUGGCGACUAAAACCGCAUCGCUCUUCUCGCUGGCAGCCAUGCAGGCCGCCGGUGUAAUUGAGGUGGAUGACGCGCGCGACUACACGGCCGCUGCGCCGAUCAUCACAGCCCUCGCGAGGGAGCCACAGACGCGAGCGGUGGUGUGGGUCAUGCAGCAGUCGUUCGCGUCCGACCAGGCACCGGCGCGCUUCUCCGCAAGCGACGCCGACGGUGGUGCCGCGUGUGACCCGUGUGUAGUGCACUUCACGGCCGACGCAAAGCAGCUCUCGCAAGAGCAGCUGCAUGAGUACGUCAUGCACUACUACACGUCCACCGCGAAGACGGAAAAGCCGUACUGCGUCCCCUACAGCGACAUCGUUCUGGCGGCUGCCUUCACCGUGGACAGUCGCGAGGUUGCUCAGCGCGGCGUGGUGCCGCACCCGGUGGAGCUGCCGAGCGAAACGCGCUGGACGCAUCCGUACGGUUGGGAGGAGUCCAUGAAGCUGCGGAGCGCCUAUGAGAACGACCGCAAACAUCUCCUGCACCACGGGCGGACGGGAGAAGAUGCUACGCCAUCGGCUGUCGAGCCCACCCCGGUGUGCUCGGCUGCGGCGCGGGCGGCUGACCUCUGCCGAAGUUCUGAGAACUUUCACCUUGUCGAGGUGCCGACGCUGCUGCCGAACCUUGUGUACGAUGGGCAUUAUGUGCAGGAGGCUGAGAGGGCGUACAAGCGCGUGCUUGAUGCCCUUGGCCUGCCGACAGCCGCCACGGCAACGUCCGCAGCGGUAGCGGAGGGCGACGAGGAAGCAGCGCAGGCGUACGCCUUCCUAAAGCCGCUCCCGCACUAGCAGUGGAAGGCUCGAAGGAAGCGAGCAGUGCAGAAGCUCCCCUUCUGUGUGUCCCCGCGACAGCGCGACGUCGAGCGUGGAUAGUUCAACCUGGGACGCGACCUCCGCCUCAACCCCUUCCCUCCCUUGCCCCCCGGGCUCCUGUGUCUAACGCGCUAACUUCAUAAGCGGUACCGCGUUACCGUGCGCACAUGGGCACGUGUGUACGGUCUGACACACGCGCGGGACGGCAGCACGGCGAGAAUGCGAAACGGUGCAAAGCCCACGCUAUACAUACCCGUAACGGAUGACGAAC